This 892-nucleotide long non-coding RNA is filed under the name Monodelphis domestica (gray short-tailed opossum). Its description in RNAcentral is "lncRNA (ENSMODG00000048831.1)". The record is from RNAcentral. Lineage: Eukaryota; Metazoa; Chordata; Mammalia; Didelphimorphia; Didelphidae.
CUGCCUAUUUUUAGAUUUUAAUCACCAAAAGUAUAAACACCCUACUUAAAAGUUGAGUAUGGAGAUCCGUCCAUUUUUGGAUCUAAUCACCAAAAGUGUAAACAUCCCACUUAAUCAUUUAGUGGGAGGUCUGUGACCCAUGUGUGCAAUAGUGGGUGACAAAUCAGAAUUAAACUAGCUGCCCCUGAGCAGUCUUAAAGCAAAGCAUCAACUAUGAUUGGUAGAAGUAAAAUUAGGGGAAGACACAGGAAGUGACACAAAAGAAACAUCUUUAAAAGGAGCUGUCACUUCCUGUGAGGGACAGUUCUUCAUUCUUUGGAAGUGAAAACUGGAUCCAAGACCCUGUUCCUGGUGAGGCUGUUCUAAAAUCUCUUCCUUUGAACUGACACGUGGAAUCCUUAUCAUCCUCAUUGAACAGAAUAGGAAACUGAUGCAAACAGAGGGUAUUCCUUUUCACAUGCUGCCCAGAAUACCUGAACAAGAUUUCCACUAUCAAUGCAUCUUCAUAUUGUGCGGGAUAUAUGCAUUUGUCUGGACCUAUUUUUUCAUUCCUGUAGAUAGCUCCCAUGUAGAAAGUCUUUACCAAUGCAAAUCACCAAUGUAACUCAUCUGUAAUUGCAAUUCUUAAAAAAUUGCCAUUGUCUAGAUACUCUCUAAGACUAUUAGUUGAAAGACAUUGGUUAGAGGAUAUUCAUCAUUAUUGUUGAGAGAGAAAGAAAAGGAAGAGGAGGAGGAGAAGGAGGAGGAAGGAAGGAAAGAAGAGAAGAACAAGUUGCCUAGGAUAGCAAGAAGUUAAAUGACUUACCCAAGGUCAUACAAAUUGUAUGUUGGGAGAAACAGAAUUUGAACCUUGAUCUUCCUUGCCUCCAUGGUCUAUCUAUAAUGCCAUGAU